This 639-nucleotide ribosomal RNA is filed under the name uncultured Actinomycetes bacterium. RNAcentral describes it as "bacterial SSU rRNA". It matches the Rfam family "Bacterial small subunit ribosomal RNA", at positions 232 to 885 of the family's 1533-position model. Lineage: Bacteria; Bacillati; Actinomycetota; Actinomycetes. The record is from RNAcentral.
CGCGGCCUAUCAGCUUGUUGGUGGGGUAACGGCCCACCAAGGCAUCGACGGGUAGCUGGUCUGAGAGGACGAUCAGCCACACUGGGACUGAGACACGGCCCAGACUCCUACGGGAGGCAGCAGUGGGGAAUAUUGCGCAAUGGGCGAAAGCCUGACGCAGCAACGCCGCGUGGGGGAUGAAGGCCUUCGGGUUGUAAACCCCUUUCAGCAGGGACGAAAAUGACGGUACCUGCAGAAGAAGCCCCGGCCAACUACGUGCCAGCAGCCGCGGUAACACGUAGGGGGCAAGCGUUGUCCGGAUUUAUUGGGCGUAAAGAGCUCGUAGGCGGUUGCGUAAGUCGGAUGUGAAAACUCAGGGCUCAACCCGGAGACGCCAUCCGAUACUGCGCUGACUAGAGUCCGGUAGAGGAGCAUGGAAUUCCUGGUGUAGCGGUGAAAUGCGCAGAUAUCAGGAGGAACACCAGUGGCGAAGGCGGUGCUCUGGGCCGGUACUGACGCUGAGGAGCGAAAGCGUGGGUAGCGAACAGGAUUAGAUACCCUGGUAGUCCACGCCGUAAACGUUGGGCACUAGGUGUGGGGCCUCCUUAACGGGUUCCGUGCCGCAGCUAACGCAUUAAGUGCCCCGCCUGGGGAGUACGG